GCCGGGCGACGGUUGUCCCGGUUUAAGCAUGUAGGCUGGUUAUCCAGGCAAAUCCGGAUAAUCAAGGCUGAGGUGUGAUGACGAGGCACUACGGUGCUGAAGUAACAAAUGCCCUGCUUCCAGGAAAAGCCUCUAAGCAUCAGGUAACAUCAAAUCGUACCCCAAACCGACACAGGUGGUCAGGUAGAGAAUACCAAGCGCUUGAGAGAACUCGGGUGAAGGAACUAGGCAAAAUGGUGCCGUAACUUCGGGAGAAGGCACGCUGGUGUGUAGGUGAAGUCCCUGCGGAUGGAGCU
Molecule: ribosomal RNA, 296 nt
Filed under: Klebsiella pneumoniae
Lineage: Bacteria; Pseudomonadati; Pseudomonadota; Gammaproteobacteria; Enterobacterales; Enterobacteriaceae
Description: partial 23S ribosomal RNA
Rfam family: Bacterial large subunit ribosomal RNA
Source: RNAcentral